GGAGCUUGCUCCCUGAUGUUAGCGGCGGACGGGUGAGUAACACGUGGGUAACCUGCCUGUAAGACUGGGAUAACUCCGGGAAACCGGGGCUAAUACCGGAUGCUUGAUUGAACCGCAUGGUUCAAUUAUAAAAGGUGGCUUUUAGCUACCACUUACAGAUGGACCCGCGGCGCAUUAGCUAGUUGGUGAGGUAACGGCUCACCAAGGCAACGAUGCGUAGCCGACCUGAGAGGGUGAUCGGCCACACUGGGACUGAGACACGGCCCAGACUCCUACGGGAGGCAGCAGUAGGGAAUCUUCCGCAAUGGACGAAAGUCUGACGGAGCAACGCCGCGUGAGUGAUGAAGGUUUUCGGAUCGUAAAACUCUGUUGUUAGGGAAGAACAAGUACCGUUCGAAUAGGGCGGUACCUUGACGGUACCUAACCAGAAAGCCACGGCUAACUACGUGCCAGCAGCCGCGGUAAUACGUAGGUGGCAAGCGUUGUCCGGAAUUAUUGGGCGUAAAGCGCGCGCAGGCGGUUUCUUAAGUCUGAUGUGAAAGCCCCC
Molecule: ribosomal RNA, 547 nt
Filed under: marine sediment bacterium BB0608_AND_7.1_1G0
Lineage: Bacteria
Description: bacterial SSU rRNA
Rfam family: Bacterial small subunit ribosomal RNA
Source: RNAcentral